AACGAACGCUGGCGGCGUGCUUAACACAUGCAAGUCGUACGAGAGAGCUCCCUUCGGGGAGUGAGUAAAGUGGCGCACGGGUGAGUAACGCGUGGGUAACCUGCCCUAGAGACCGGGAUAACUGACCGAAAGGUCCGCUAAUACCGGAUACGCUUCUCAUUUCUUCGGAUUUGGGAAGGAAAGAUGGCCUCUCGAAGAAGCUGUCGCUCAAGGAUGGGCCCGCGUCCCAUUAGCUUGUUGGUGGGGUAAUGGCCUACCAAGGCUACGAUGGGUAGCUGGUCUGAGAGGAUGAUCAGCCACACUGGAACUGAGACACGGUCCAGACUCCUACGGGAGGCAGCAGUGGGGAAUAUUGCGCAAUGGGCGAAAGCCUGACGCAGCAACGCCGCGUGGGUGAAGAAGGCCUUCGGGUUGUAAAGCCCUGUCAGGUGGGAAGAAAUGUCAGAGAUGAAUAGUCUCUGGCUUUGACGGUACCACCAGAGGAAGCACCGGCUAACUCCGUGCCAGCAGCCGCGGUAAUACGGAGGGUGCGAGCGUUGUUCGGAAUUACUGGGCGUAAAGCGGGUGUAGGCGGUGGAUCAAGUCAGAUGUGAAAGCCCUCGGCUCAACCGAGGAAGUGCAUCUGAAACUGGUUCGCUAGAGUACGGGAGAGGAGAGUGGAAUUCCCAGUGUAGAGGUGAAAUUCGUAGAUAUUGGGAGGAACACCGGUGGCGAAGGCGGCUCUCUGGAACGAUACUGACGCUGAGACCCGAAAGCGUGGGGAGCAAACAGGAUUAGAUACCCUGGUAGUCCACGCCGUAAACGAUGGGCAUUAGGUGAAGGGAGUAUUGACCCUCCCUGUGCCGACGCUAACGCAUUAAAUGCCCCGCCUGGGGAGUACGGUCGCAAGAUUAAAACUCAAAGGAAUUGACGG
Molecule: ribosomal RNA, 913 nt
Filed under: uncultured delta proteobacterium
Lineage: Bacteria; Deltaproteobacteria
Description: bacterial SSU rRNA
Rfam family: Bacterial small subunit ribosomal RNA
Source: RNAcentral